RNAcentral lists this non-coding RNA (149 nucleotides) under Nomascus leucogenys (northern white-cheeked gibbon). Lineage: Eukaryota; Metazoa; Chordata; Mammalia; Primates; Hylobatidae. The record is from Rfam by way of RNAcentral.
GCUGGGCAUGGUGGUGCAUGCCUGUAAUCUCAGCUACUUGGGAGGCUGAGGCAGGAGAAUUGCUUGAACCCGGGAGGCAGAGGUUGUGGUGAGCCGAGAUCGUGCCACUUACACUCCAGCCUGGGUAACAGAGUGAGAUUCUGUCUCAA